This 253-nucleotide ribosomal RNA is filed under the name uncultured bacterium. RNAcentral describes it as "partial 16S ribosomal RNA". It matches the Rfam family "Bacterial small subunit ribosomal RNA", at positions 524 to 776 of the family's 1533-position model. The record is from RNAcentral.
UACGUAGGUGGCAAGCGUUGUUCGGAAUUACUGGGCGUAAAGGGCGCGUAGGCGGCCGCCUAAGUCAGACGUGAAAUCCCUCGGCUCAACCGGGGAACUGCGUCUGAUACUGGGUGGCUUGAAUCCGGGAGAGGGAUGCGGAAUUCCAGGUGUAGAGGUGAAAUUCGUAGAUAUUCGGAGGAACACCAGAGGCGAAGGCGGCCAACUGGUCCGGUACUGACGCUGAGGCGCGAAAGCGUGGGGAGCAAACAGG